RNAcentral lists this ribosomal RNA (253 nucleotides) under uncultured bacterium. Its description in RNAcentral is "partial 16S ribosomal RNA". It matches the Rfam family "Bacterial small subunit ribosomal RNA", at positions 524 to 776 of the family's 1533-position model. The record is from RNAcentral.
UACGAAGGGGGCUAGCGUUGUUCGGAAUCACUGGGCGUAAAGCGCACGUAGGUGGAUUUAUUAGUCAGGGGUGAAAUCCCGGGGCUCAACCUCGGAAUUGCCUUUGAUACUGUCUAUCUUGAGUCCGGGAGAGGUGAGUGGAAUUCCUAGUGUAGAGGUGAAAUUCGUAGAUAUUAGGAAGAACACCAGUGGCGAAGGCGGCUCACUGGCCCGGUACUGACGCUCAUGUGCGAAAGCGUGGGGAGCAAACAGG